This 329-nucleotide ribosomal RNA is filed under the name uncultured eukaryote. RNAcentral's name for it is "partial 18S ribosomal RNA". It matches the Rfam family "Eukaryotic small subunit ribosomal RNA", at positions 1470 to 1796 of the family's 1831-position model. The record is from RNAcentral.
CCCUUAGAUGUCCUGGGCCGCACGCGCGCUACACUGAGUGUCUGAGAUACGAGUCUGCCUGGUCCGGCAAGGUCUAGGUAAUCGCUAAAAGACACAUCAUGCUUGGGAUAGAUUAUUGCAAAUAUUAAUCUUCAACGAGGAAUGCCUAGUAGGCGCAAGUCAUCAGCUUGCGUCGAUUACGUCCCUGCCCUUUGUACACACCGCCCGUCGCUCCUACCGAUUGGGUGUGCUGGUGAAAUGUUCGGAUCGGCCGUUUGUCGCGGUUUCCGCGUCAUGUGGCUGAGAAGUUCAUUAAACCCUCCCACCUAGAGGAAGGAGAAGUCGUAACA